CCAGACUCCUACGGGAGGCAGCAGUGGGGAAUAUUGCACAAUGGGGGAAACCCUGAUGCAGCGACGCCGCGUGAGUGAAGAAGUAUUUCGGUACGUAAAGCUCUAUCAGCAGGGAAGAAAAUGACGGUACCUGACUAAGAAGCCCCGGCUAACUACGUGCCAGCAGCCGCGGUAAUACGUAGGGGGCAAGCGUUAUCCGGAUUUACUGGGUGUAAAGGGAGCGUAGACGGCAGCGCAAGUCUGGAGUGAAAUCCCAUGGCUUAACCAUGGAACUGCUUUGGAAACUGUAUGGCUAGAGUGCUGGAGAGGUAAGCGGAAUUCCUAGUGUAGCGGUGAAAUGCGUAGAUAUUAGGAGGAACACCAGUGGCGAAGGCGGCUUACUGGACAUUAACUGACGCUGAGGCACGAAGGCCUGGGGAGCGAAAGGGAUUAGAUACCCGUGUA
This 444-nucleotide ribosomal RNA is filed under the name uncultured bacterium. RNAcentral describes it as "bacterial SSU rRNA". It matches the Rfam family "Bacterial small subunit ribosomal RNA", at positions 331 to 792 of the family's 1533-position model. The record is from RNAcentral.